Molecule: ribosomal RNA, 462 nt
Filed under: uncultured bacterium
Lineage: Bacteria
Description: partial 16S ribosomal RNA
Rfam family: Bacterial small subunit ribosomal RNA
Source: RNAcentral
AAUGAACGUUGGCGGCAUGGAUUAGGCAUGCAAGUCGGGGGAAUCCCAGCAAUGGGGGAACCGGCGUAAGGGGCAGUAAGGCAUGGGUACCUACCUUGGGGUUCGGGAUAGCCAUCAGAGAUGGUGGGUAAUACCGGAUGACGUCGUGAGACCAAAGAUUCAUCGCCCUUAGAGGGGCCCAUGUGAUAUUAGCUAGUUGGUGGGGUAACGGCCCACCAAGGCGAAGAUGUCUAGCGGGUGUGGGAGCACGACCCGCGCCACUGGCACUGAGACACUGGCGAGACACCUACGGGUGGCUGCAGUCGAGGAUAUUCGGCAAUGAGCGCAAGCUUGACCGAGCGAUGCCGCGUGAGCGAUGAAGGCCUUCGGGUUGUAAAGCUCUUUAGUGGGGGAGAAAAGCCGCAAGGUGUGAUCUAUCCCAAAAAUAAGCACGGGCUAAGUUCGUGCCAGCCGCCGCAGUAA